This 274-nucleotide ribosomal RNA is filed under the name uncultured bacterium. Its description in RNAcentral is "partial 16S ribosomal RNA". It matches the Rfam family "Bacterial small subunit ribosomal RNA", at positions 523 to 796 of the family's 1533-position model. The record is from RNAcentral.
AUACGGAGGGUGCAAGUGUUGUCCGGAUUUAUUGGGUUUAAAGGGUACGUAGGUGGAUUCUUAAGUCCGUGGUGAAAGCCCGCAGCUCAACUGCGGAACUGCCAUGGAUACUGGGAAUCUUGAAUUCAGUUGAGGUUGGCGGAAUUUAUGGUGUAGCGGUGAAAUGCAUAGAUACCAUAAAGAACACCUAUUGCGAAGGCAGCUAACUGGACUUGAAUUGACACUGAGGUACGAAAGCGUGGGGAGCAAACAGGAGUAGAAACCCCAGUAGUCC